Molecule: ribosomal RNA, 209 nt
Filed under: uncultured bacterium
Lineage: Bacteria
Description: partial 16S ribosomal RNA
Rfam family: Bacterial small subunit ribosomal RNA
Source: RNAcentral
UACGAAGGGGGGCUAGCGUUGCUCGGAAUGACUGGGCGUAAAGGGCGCGUAGGCGGCGCAGUUAGUCAGGCGUGAAAUUCCUGGGCUCAACCUGGGGACUGCGCUUGAUACGGCUGUGCUUGAGGAUGGAAGAGGCUCGCGGAAUUCCCGAGUAGAGGUGAAAUUCGUAGAUAUUGGGAAGAACACCGGUGGCGAAGGCGGCGAUGUCG